AAAGUAAUGGCUACCUACCAAUGUGGUCCGAUUAUGGACCAACAGUAUUAACAUGUAAAAAUCUAUAGAAAAUCAAAUGAAAUAAACUGGUACAGUGUACACCCUCUGGAUCAAAUACUGCCAAUGUAUAAAAAAAACUCACCUUGCUGUAGUAGCCGAUGAAAAUGGCAAUCAUCUCGGCCAUCACUGCCACCUCAUCACUCACCCCUGCAUUUCUUUCACACAAGCCAUCACCAAGGCUUGCAUCUCCAGUUACCAGGGGUUGAAGAAAGGGAGAGUGAUGUGUUCCAUGAAGAAGAAGGAGGCUGGUGUUGCAAAGGAGAAUGGCUCGACAACAAUAGGUAUGAGUGGUUCUUUGUUGGCAGCGGUGUGUGCGGCUACCGUGUCGAGCCCUGCCAUGGGUCUGGUGGACGAUAGAAUGUCAACGGAAGGAACUGGACUUCCCUUUGGUUUGAGUAACAACCUUCUGGGGUGGAUCCUGUUGGGUGUGUUCGGUUUGGUUUCGGCACUUAGUUUACACUGCCACUCUUGAAGAAGAUGAGGAAUCUGGAUUGUCUCUCUAAGCCCCAAACUCUUUACUUCCAUUUGGGUGCUGCUGAUUUCUGCAAAUGUUAAUGUUCAAAUGAAUGCAGUAAAACACUACCUUCUUCUGCA
Long non-coding RNA from Hibiscus syriacus, 654 nucleotides. RefSeq lists it as uncharacterized. The record is from RefSeq and is a predicted model, not a curated record. Lineage: Eukaryota; Viridiplantae; Streptophyta; Magnoliopsida; Malvales; Malvaceae. The transcript is spliced from 2 exons.